GAUGAAUGCUGGCGGCGUGCCUAAUACAUGCAAGUCGAGCGAACAGAUGAGGAGCUUGCUCCUCUGACGUUAGCGGCGGACGGGUGAGUAACACGUGGAUAACCUACCUAUAAGACUGGGAUAACUUCGGGAAACCGGAGCUAAUACCGGAUAAUAUAUUGAACCGCAUGGUUCAAUAGUGAAAGACGGUUUUGCUGUCACUUAUAGAUGGAUCCGUGCCGCAUUAGCUAGUUGGUAAGGUAACGGCUUACCAAGGCAACGAUGCGUAGCCGACCUGAGAGGGUGAUCGGCCACACUGGAACUGAGACACGGUCCAGACUCCUACGGGAGGCAGCAGUAGGGAAUCUUCCGCAAUGGGCGAAAGCCUGACGGAGCAACGCCGCGUGAGUGAUGAAGGUCUUCGGAUCGUAAAACUCUGUUAUUAGGGAAGAACAAAUGUGUAAGUAACUAUGCACGUCUUGACGGUACCUAAUCAGAAAGCCACGGCUAACUACGUG
RNAcentral lists this ribosomal RNA (497 nucleotides) under uncultured bacterium. RNAcentral describes it as "partial 16S ribosomal RNA". It matches the Rfam family "Bacterial small subunit ribosomal RNA", at positions 28 to 507 of the family's 1533-position model. The record is from RNAcentral.